GCCUGUGUCACCGUGGCGCUCCAUGAGAGCACAGAAAUACGUCGCAGCAUCCCCCAGCUGCGAGUCGGAGAUCUCCAGGCUGAAGGACUUAGCUGCUUUCUGGAAGUUCACAGAGAAGCGGUUUAACGUUGCAUUAUACUGCUUGUAUGCUUCUUGGAGAAUGACGAGAGUCACCUGCCCUCCUUGCUGUUUGUACCAGAACAAGAGCUACUUCUUCCAUGUCUGCACAGAUGCUGAGAUCUGAGGUUUCUGUUAGACCCUCUCUGUUGCCUGCGUCACUGUGGCUCCCCCUGAGUGCACAGAAAUACGUCGCAGCAUCCCCCAGCUGCGAGUCGGAGAUCUCCAGGCUGAAGGACUUAGCUGCUUUCUGGAAGUUCACAGAGAAGCGGUUUAACGUUGCAUUAUACUGCUUGUAUGCUUCUUGGAGAAUGACGAGAGUCACCUGCCCUCCUUGCUGUUUGUACCAGAACAAGAGGAUUAGAGAUGCUGAGUCAGGUGGAUCAAUGGGAGUUUGAGGACAGCCUGGUGAACAAAGAGUUUCCCAUCUCAAAAAAGGAGAAAAAGAAAAUGAUGAAUUUCAAAGGCCCAUGACCUCCUCACAACAUAAGAAGCAUUUAGCCAAACUGUGAAAGCUCCAAUAGUCUUCAGCAGCUCCAACACUGUUCAAAAGUAGACCGGAAGUGCCGAACUGCCUUGCUAUCACGGCUCGCCCCUGCUUGGGAAGAUUAACACACUAAGAAGACUGAUGUCGGAAUAUCUUCACUGAGAUCAUAAUUAUUCUCCACGGGAAGCAUAGGGCUUCCCCAGCGGCAGCACGGAUUCCAUUUUCCUGCCUCUCUAAUGACCAGUUCUCAGGUUUACUUGGUUGUAUCUGACUCAUAGCUCAGUUGCAAACAAAAGGAUCAGCAGUGAAAUCUGUGUCCACUCUUUUUUAAUUUUUAGGUUUGUUUUUCUGUGAAAAGUGAUUUGCUCUGUUCCUCUUUUUCUUGGAACCCACACCUUUAUAAACACACAUGCACACACACACACACACACACACACACACACACACACACACACACACACAGACACACACCCACGCACACAUGCACACCAACUAUUUCCUUUUUAAGUUAAGCAAAAAAAAAUUAUUUGUCUCCAAUUUAAACUCAAAUCUUUCUCACUAAACCAUCUAUGGUCAUCAUUGCAAAUGGAACACUGCCAUCUUGUGAGCUGGCACAGAAUAUCUGGAAGUUUGCACAUUUUCCUAUUACCAGGAUAGUAGGGUUUUCUGCCUCUGACAGUCUCCCUCCACUGAAGGAUAGACUAUGCCAUGCCACCCUCAUUAUAUCACUCACUGGCUCCAUAGACAUUGAAAAAAAUGUGAAGCCCCCUCCCCAGGAACCAGUCAGAAAAGCACAACUGAGCCUUAUCCUCAACAUGCCUUUACCCAGAGCUCUUUGUUAGUAUUUAAUUAAUAAAUUACAUUAUAUUUUGUUAGA
Molecule: long non-coding RNA, 1481 nt
Filed under: Mus musculus (house mouse)
Lineage: Eukaryota; Metazoa; Chordata; Mammalia; Rodentia; Muridae
Description: predicted gene 43647
Source: RNAcentral